GGAGUACCUGACUGUCCCUUCUGGCUCCGCGGGAUGUGUGCGCACACAGGAGCAGCAGAUCGUCACUCUCAAAGGCUAUGUACCCCACACAAAGCUGAAAGUAGUGACGCAGUGGAUGUAGAACUGAAUGAAUUUGACAAGCAACUGAGGAAGUUAAACAAGCACGGGCAAAAGGUGAUCUAGGCAUUGCUAUUGGUAAUUAUUAUAGACAUCUACUUCUAAUGAAGCACAAAGUUAAAA
Grus americana (Whooping crane) is the source of this 240-nucleotide long non-coding RNA. RefSeq lists it as uncharacterized. NCBI's taxonomy places the organism in Eukaryota, Metazoa, Chordata, Aves, Gruiformes, Gruidae. The record is from RefSeq and is a predicted model, not a curated record. The transcript is spliced from 3 exons.